Molecule: ribosomal RNA, 465 nt
Filed under: uncultured bacterium
Lineage: Bacteria
Description: partial 16S ribosomal RNA
Rfam family: Bacterial small subunit ribosomal RNA
Source: RNAcentral
CCUACGGGUGGCAGCAGUGGGGAAUAUUGCGCAAUGGGCGAAAGCCUGACGCAGCGACGCCGCGUGAGGGAUGAAGGUCUUCGGAUCGUAAACCUCUGUCAGCAGGGAAGAACGGUCACUGUGCUAAUCAGCAGUGAAUUGACGGUACCUGCAAAGGAAGCACCGGCUAACUCCGUGCCAGCAGCCGCGGUAAUACGGAGGGUGCGAGCGUUAAUCGGAAUUACUGGGCGUAAAGCGCGCGUAGGCGGCUUUUCAAGUCAGGGGUGAAAUCCCACGGCCCAACCGUGGAACUGCCUUUGAAACUGUAGAGCUUGAGUGUCGGAGAGGGUGGCGGAAUUCCAGGUGUAGGAGUGAAAUCCGUAGAUAUCUGGAGGAACACCGGUGGCGAAGGCGGCCACCUGGACGACAACUGACGCUGAGGUGCGAAAGCGUGGGUAGCAAACAGGAUUAGAUACCCUAGUAGUC